UUAUAAAAAACAUUGACUUGCUGAGACGAUCGUGUGGGUGUAAACAGAAACACAGGGACUCACCUCCACAAUGUGAUGAACGUGAACUUGAGAAUCUGGCUCCUGAAGCUCAGCCCUCAGGGUCUUAGCAGAAAAGCAGAACGUACGGCGGUUUGGUGUUCUGGAGCACUCGGGUGUAUCUCUACAUCACGCUGAGAAGAAAGGACAUCAUCCAUGACCUGAACAGAUUGAACGCACUUGUCUGAUCACCUAAAUGGUAAAUGGUGCACUUAUAUAGCGCUUUUAUCCAAAGCGCUUUACACUGUGUCUCAUUCACCCAUUCACACACACACACCAAUGGUAGCAGAGCUGCCAUGCAAGGCGUUAACUUGCCAUCGGGAGCAACUUGGGGUUCAGUGUCUUAUCAAGGACACUUUAGCAUGUGGAGUCAUGUGGGCCAGGAAUCAAACCACCAACCUUACGAUUAGUGGACAACCCGCUCUACCACCUGAGCCACAGCCGCCCAGGGAUUGUUUUAAAGAUGCUUGUAAUGUGUUGUAUUUAAAUAUUUUUUACGAUCUUUUGUGUGACACUUAAAUGUGAAUUUCUUGUUUUCAUGUUUGCGCCUCCUGUAGAAUAGUUUUUAUUAUCUAAUUGCUAGAUAUAUAUAGAUAUGAUUGGAUUUAUUCAUUUAUCACCUGUUUUGAGACAUUUUAUUUUAUUGUUUAAUCAUCUGAAUCAUGUUUCAUCACCUGAAUCUACAACACAAUAGUCUGUUAUUAGAAAGCCAUAUGUAUAUAAAACCCGUUUAUUGCAUCUUUUGGAUGCUCAGAGUUUAUAUUUAUAUUCAGUACACAUAAAUCAGAUGACAUAUUAUAUAAGAGUGAUGCUGGAAAGGUAUUAUAAGUAAUGCAUUUCUAUAAUUGUAUAUAACAUUUCUUUAUUAUUUUUGUUUAGUUUAUUAUUUUUGUUUAGUUCUUUUGCAUUUCAAGAGUUUAGUCUGAUUGCAGCGAGAGGAAACAUGGCGUGCUGUAUGUUAAAACAAUGAGAAUUCUUUUUCUUUCUUUCUUUAAAA
Ictalurus furcatus (blue catfish) is the source of this 1054-nucleotide long non-coding RNA. RefSeq lists it as uncharacterized. The transcript has 3 exons. Lineage: Eukaryota; Metazoa; Chordata; Actinopteri; Siluriformes; Ictaluridae. The record is from RefSeq and is a predicted model, not a curated record.